AUUGAACGCUGGCGGCAGGCUUAACACAUGCAAGUCGAGCGGAGAUGAGGUGCUUGCACCUUAUCUUAGCGGCGGACGGGUGAGUAAUGCUUAGGAAUCUGCCUAUUAGUGGGGGACAACAUUCCGAAAGGAAUGCUAAUACCGCAUACGUCCUACGGGAGAAAGCAGGGGAUCUUCGGACCUUGCGAUAAUAGAUGAGCCUAAGUCGGAUUAGCUAGUUGGUGGGGUAAAGGCUUACCAAGGCGACGAUCUGUAGCGGGUCUGAGAGGAGGAUCCGCCACACUGGGACUGAGACACGGCCCAGACUCCUACGGGAGGCAGCAGUGGGGAAUAUUGGACAAUGGGGGAAACCCUGAUCCAGCCAUGCCGCGUGUGUGAAGAAGGCCUUAUGGUUGUAAAGCACUUUAAGCGAGGAGGAGGCUACUGAGACUAAUACUCUUGGAUAGUGGACGUUACUCGCAGAAUAAGCACCGGCUAACUCUGUGCCAGCAGCCGCAGUAA
This 501-nucleotide ribosomal RNA is filed under the name uncultured bacterium. Its description in RNAcentral is "partial 16S ribosomal RNA". It matches the Rfam family "Bacterial small subunit ribosomal RNA", at positions 30 to 523 of the family's 1533-position model. The record is from RNAcentral.